CGAUGGAAAAAGUCACACACCCCCCGGUUUCGGCGAUUCGUCACAACAAGCGCCAAAAAAGCCGAGACUCCGCACCGGUGAAAAACGGCACAGACGACCACAUAAAUCUAGAGCUGGGGGAUUCCGGCGCACCGCGCAUUCAGAAUGGAACACCCAAGAGACCUGUUUUUAACGACAUUUCGGAUGUUGAUGAUCAGCUAUUCAGUGAUGCGGCCAACCUUGUAGACCCAGUCAAUUCUACGGCCUCAGUACCGGCAGCCGAACAAGAAAGGUUUUUCACAUUAUUUUCCAGGGCUUUGAAAUCGAGGAAUGUUUUGCUAUACAAACGACUGGGGGAUUUAAUUGAGAGACAGUACAGAGACGAUAUGUUAUUCUGGCAUAGAACAAUUCCACGCAUGUUAAACAGCAACCCCAUUAAAAAACGCAAAUACAGACGCUAAAAGCAUACAUGUAACAACAACCAUUACAGAAAAAAAUAAAAUAAUAAAUAAAUUAAAAUAAAAUAA
Molecule: long non-coding RNA, 506 nt
Organism: Oncorhynchus gorbuscha (pink salmon)
Lineage: Eukaryota; Metazoa; Chordata; Actinopteri; Salmoniformes; Salmonidae
Exons: 2
Source: RefSeq, a predicted model, not a curated record